UGCACCCUGAGAAUGAUCUGGAAGAAGUUGGAAAAACAGAAAACCAUAUCAUCGACUGCCUGGUAGCUAUGGUUGUCAAACUUUCCGAAGUCACAUUCAGACCUCUGUUUUUCAAGCUGUUUGAUUGGGCCAAGACAGAGGACGCCCCAAAGGAUAGACUGUUGACGUUUUACAACUUGGCGGAUUGCAUUGCCGCAAAACUGAAAGGGCUCUUUACUCUGUUCGCCGGCCACUUGGUGAAGCCUUUUGCUGACACCUUGAACCAGGUGAACAUCUCCAAAACAGGUUGGUAGCUGACUCCAGCGCGUUGACGCCUUGCUCUGUGUGCCUUGCACAAGCUCGGGAAGUACAGUAAGUCUAAAGGGUGCGUGUUUCGUGCUGUAGUCGGCGGUCAGGCCCUGAAGUGUCUGCUUUCGCGUCAUGAAAAGGGUCAUGAGGUAACUGACAGGAGGAAUCACUUACCCGAGAGCCCACCCACGGUGCCACCCUCAUCCUGAGCUUGCUUCUAGAUGGAGGAGGAAAUGCCCUCUUGAUUGUAGCUCUGUCAAUAGUGAUUUGAAUGUAAACGUUGGAGAUUCAAUUGUGACACUGUUUUCAUUUU
Long non-coding RNA from Myotis davidii, 601 nucleotides. RefSeq lists it as uncharacterized. The record is from RefSeq and is a predicted model, not a curated record. The transcript is spliced from 3 exons. NCBI's taxonomy places the organism in Eukaryota, Metazoa, Chordata, Mammalia, Chiroptera, Vespertilionidae.